Molecule: non-coding RNA, 21 nt
Filed under: Arabidopsis thaliana (thale cress)
Lineage: Eukaryota; Viridiplantae; Streptophyta; Magnoliopsida; Brassicales; Brassicaceae
Source: RNAcentral
GUAGUAUAUGAAAGUAAACUG